UUUGAAUGUUCAGGCUUCUAAGUGACAGAAAAGCAGCUUGUUUGAAAAAUGAUUUUUUUCUGGCUUCUAACCAGUGUUAAUUCACUUGGAAACCAAGGCAGUUUUCUCCCCUUUACUGAACUCUGGAUUUCUUUUCCAAUCAAGGCCCCUGACACCAAAGAAGGAAAUGGAGCGUAAAUCAGGCUACAGAGUGGCUGCCAUUCAUUCAGGAAGCCUUACUGUUUUCCGUCCUUUGUUCCCCUCUAGACCCUUGCCAACCCCCAGGCCGCGAGGCCCUCUGAAGCCCUGAGCCUGGAGCGGUAGGAGACGGGGGAACUGAAACGCCGCGGAACCAGAGGCUAGGGAGCGGCGCGAUGGAGGGAGGAGGAGCGACGGACCGGCAGGCCUAGCUCCGGGGCUGCGGCGGCUGAGGCGCGGGGAUGGAGCCCCUGCGGGUGCUGGAGCUGUACAGCGGCGUGGGCGGCAUGCACCACGCGCUGAGAGAAAGCUGUAUACCUGCACAAGUGGUGGCUGCCAUUGAUGUCAACACUGUCGCUAAUGAAGUAUACAAGUAUAAUUUUCCUCACACACAGUUACUUGCCAAGACAAUUGAAUUACAUACUGUAGAGUAAAUGAUAGCUACUGAAGACAGAGUGAUCCGUGAUUAAUAUCAUUAAUGCCUCUGAAGAAGAGAAUGACUCCAGUGGAACAAAAACUCUUAAUAAAAAUAG
RNAcentral lists this small RNA (710 nucleotides) under Pan troglodytes (chimpanzee). Its description in RNAcentral is "processed transcript". The record is from RNAcentral. Lineage: Eukaryota; Metazoa; Chordata; Mammalia; Primates; Hominidae.